Molecule: ribosomal RNA, 572 nt
Filed under: Cytophagaceae bacterium
Lineage: Bacteria; Pseudomonadati; Bacteroidota; Cytophagia; Cytophagales; Cytophagaceae
Description: partial 23S ribosomal RNA
Rfam family: Bacterial large subunit ribosomal RNA
Source: RNAcentral
UUUGUGGUCAAGUUUCUAAGAGCAAACGGUGGAUGCCUUGGCAUCUGGAGCCGAAGAAGGACGUAGAAAUCUGCGAUAAGCCUCGGGGAGCUGAUAAUCGAGCUGUGAGCCGAGGAUUUCCGAAUGGGGAAACCCCGCCAGGCGCUUUUGUGACCUGGUGACUCCCGCCUGAAUAUAUAGGGCGGGUAGAGGGAACGUGGGGAAGUGAAACAUCUCAGUACCCACAGGAAGAGAAAACAACAUGUGAUUCCGUGAGUAGUGGCGAGCGAAAACGGAUGAGGCUAAACCGAUCAUGUGUGAUAGCCGGCGGGCGUUGCAUGGUCGGGGUUGUGGGACACGUCACUCAGUUCUGCCGGACUGGGACGGUUACAGCGCAUCAUAGUCGAACCGGUUUGAAAGCCGGGCCGUAGUGGGUGCCAGCCCCGUAGACGAAAUGGUGUUAUGGCCGGAUGUGUAUCCCAAGUAGCACGGGGCCCGAGAAAUCCCGUGUGAAUCUGUCAGGACCACCUGAUAAGCCUAAAUACUCCCAGAUGACCGAUAGCGGACAAGUACCGUGAGGGAAAGGUGAAAAG